CCCCCCCCCCCCCCCCCCCCCCCCCCCCCCCCCCCCCCCCCCCCCCCCCCCCCCCCCCCCCCCCCCCCCCCGCGCUCGGCUCUGCCGGCCCGGCUCCGCCGCGCUGCCCUGCGAUGAGAGCGAAGCGCUGGACAGCGUCCAGGACGUGUACAGGGAGGGCAUCUUCGAGUCGGACAGGCUCGAUUUCCUGUUGGGAGAGAAGGGCGGGAGCUGCCGGGGGCGAUCCCACCUGGCGAGGGACCCCUGGCCAGUACUGGUCAGCACUGGGGGUCCCUGGUCAGUACUGGGGGGAUCCCUGGUCAGAACUGGAGGGUCCCUGGUCAGUACUGGGGGGUCCCUGGUCUGUACUGGAGGGUCCCUGGUCAGUACUGAGGGUUCCCUGGUCUGUACUGGGGGGUCCCUGGUCAGCACUGGGGGGGGUCCCUGGUCCCCCCCCCCCCCCCCCCCCCCCCCCCCCCCCCCCCCCCCCCCCCCCCGCCGGGGGCCAUCCCACCUGGCGAGGGACCCCUGGCCAGUACUGGUCAGCACUGGGGGUCCCUGGUCAGUACUGGGGGGAUCCCUGGUCAGAACUGGAGGGUCCCUGGUCAGUACUGGGGGGUCCCUGGUCAGUGCUGGGAGAUGCCUCGCCUUGGGUUCUCUGGGGAAAAAAGACCCCAAGUUCUCCGUGUUACCCCCUUCCCUCUGCAGGAUUUUGUCGCACGCAGGGAAUUCCAGACCUGAAGAGGGGAGCGACGUAGCUGCUGGGGAAGAGCCCGACCCUGCCGGUGAGCAGGGACAUGCCCCGCAGCCAGCCGUCCUGCUCCGUGCCGAGCACACGUAGCCCCUCUCCCCUGCGCAGCUGCAGCUCGGCGGGGCCGUGCGCCGCGUACGGGCGCAGCGCCACGCACCUGCGGAGAGCAGCGGGUCAGCCCUGCGCCGCGCAGCGCCCGGCUGCAGCGGGCGGGCAGCUCCUCUCGAGGGCGGUGCCAUCCGCUCCAGGAGUCGAUGAGUUCCAGCACAACGCCACAGCUCUCGGGUGUUAUUUCCAAAACACAAACAACAGCUGGGGGGGUCUGGCCGGUCAGGGGCUGCCCCAGCACUCUCAGAAAGGUUUCUCUCCCUGUUUUUCAGCACAAGCUUCUGGAGGUUUGGCCGGGGGCCGGUCUGAGUGAGGGGCUGUUCCCAGCUGUGCCCUGGCUGCUCAGGAGCACUGUGUGAGCGCUGGCCUGGCUCUGCCUCUGUGCAAAGCACCCAGCUGCUGGGGUGCCCUCACACCACCCUUCUGCAAAUUAUUGUAAUGUCUGGGGAGCUCUCUUGUCUUUUGGAUUCGUGCUGGAGUCUCGGCUGGAUGAUGGUGUGGUGAGGGUGCUACUCCUGGGCACAGCAUUCCCACAGCCUGGCUCUGCACCAGGGGGGCUCAGCGCUGCGCAAGCAGCAUGUUGGGAUGCUGUUAUAAUUUUAGAUGCUUUACCAAAGUGCCAGGGUGGUGAACCUUUCCUUGAUAUAAUCAUCAUAGAGCGUUAUCUGCAAAUUUUAACUCUGUGAAAGUUUUCAAAAACCGGAUUGCUCAAAACACCGGUGGCUAUGAAGGUUUCAGGAUAAAUAACUAGAGGCACUUAAGGAGUAAUUAGUUUCUUUGCAAUUAAAAACAUUUAAAAUGCAUUGCUGACAAACAGGCAGAGCUGUUUCUCCCCAGGUUCUGCAGGGAGGCAGAAGGAUGCACUCAGCUGUGGCACCAGGUCUCUGCCACCCCCUGCUCAGAGCAGCCAGUCCAUCCCAGCACGGAUCUGCAUUCAGACCCAAGGAGAGGCUGCAGGAAAUCCCAGCCCACCCCCAAAGCACCCCAGUAUCUCACGUACAGGUAAGCUGGCCCCUGCUGCUGCAGGUGGGGCAGGGUGACGAUGGCAGCCGGGGGCCCCAGGGCUCCUGCUGAGGGGUGGGAAGAGGCGCUGACCUACGGGAGAAGGGAAGCAGAGAAAACAAAGCAUUAAUCUGCUUAUCAGCUUCUUUCAGCCCCUGCAGGAGCAGCUAACAUUGGACUGGCUUCACCCACCCUUCAAAAAUUACCAAUGGCACUUCAGGAAAUAGAAGAGUCUGGAGCAUUUGAGUUUAAAAAAGAGCAGGCAGCAAGAGGAAGACUCAGAAUCAGAGAAUCCUUUAGGCUGGAAAAGCCUCCAGGGUCACCGAGGUGACAGAUCCCCCUGUCCUUUCCCCACUGUCACUUUGCACUGCAGGUGCAACCAGGCACUGGGAUGUCCACUGUGUGUCCUGGAGGGGCUCCCUGGGGUUCCAGGGAGGAGCUGAAGCCCUGUCCUGCUGCUGAGGGAGCUGAGCCUGUGCUGAGCCUGUGCUGUGUCUGAGUCUGUGCUGUGUCUGUGUCUGUGCUGUGUCUGUGUCCCCCCCCCCCCCCCCCCCCCCCCCCCCCCCCCCCCCCCCCCCCCCCCCCCCCCCCCCC
Ficedula albicollis (Collared flycatcher) is the source of this 2434-nucleotide long non-coding RNA. NCBI's taxonomy places the organism in Eukaryota, Metazoa, Chordata, Aves, Passeriformes, Muscicapidae. The record is from Ensembl.